This 280-nucleotide ribosomal RNA is filed under the name uncultured Ochrobactrum sp. RNAcentral describes it as "partial 16S ribosomal RNA". It matches the Rfam family "Bacterial small subunit ribosomal RNA", at positions 1100 to 1382 of the family's 1533-position model. The record is from RNAcentral. Lineage: Bacteria; Pseudomonadati; Pseudomonadota; Alphaproteobacteria; Hyphomicrobiales; Brucellaceae.
AACCCUCGCCCUUAGUUGCCAGCAUUAGUUGGGCACUCUAAGGGGACUGCCGGUGAUAAGCCGAGAGGAAGGUGGGGAUGACGUCAAGUCCUCAUGGCCCUUACGGGCUGGGCUACACACGUGCUACAAUGGUGGUGACAGUGGGCAGCGAGCACGCGAGUGUGAGCUAAUCUCCAAAAGCCAUCUCAGUUCGGAUUGCACUCUGCAACUCGAGUGCAUGAAGUUGGAAUCGCUAGUAAUCGCGGAUCAGCAUGCCGCGGUGAAUACGUUCCCGGGCCUU